Non-coding RNA from Ictidomys tridecemlineatus (thirteen-lined ground squirrel), 71 nucleotides. The record is from Rfam. NCBI's taxonomy places the organism in Eukaryota, Metazoa, Chordata, Mammalia, Rodentia, Sciuridae.
GUGGUUGUGGCUCAGUGGUAGAGUACUUGCCUUGGAAGUGUGAGGCACUGGGUUCAAUCCUCAGCACCACA